GCAGUUCUCUUUAACAUUCUAUUCAUGUUUGCUCUUAUGUACCUUAACCCAUUCGGAAAGCCGCAAGCAAUAAUAUCUGAAGAUGCUGCAAAAGAGAUGGAAAAUAACCAAGAACAGUCAAAGGAAGAACCAAGACUCAGAAGGCCCGUGUCAAAGAAAAAAUCAAUUUCUCGAUCAUUGUCUUCGUCUGAUGAGAACAAUACAAAAGAAAUGGAAAUCCGCCGAUUGAGCAGCUGAACUAACAGCAAUGGAAUAAGUAAAAAUG
This is a long non-coding RNA of Juglans microcarpa x Juglans regia, 265 nucleotides long. RefSeq lists it as uncharacterized. The record is from RefSeq and is a predicted model, not a curated record. NCBI's taxonomy places the organism in Eukaryota, Viridiplantae, Streptophyta, Magnoliopsida, Fagales, Juglandaceae. The transcript has 3 exons.